CAGAGAUGCGGGGUGCCGAAAGGGAAUUGGAACACAGGUGCUGCAUGGCUGUCGUCAGCUCGUGUCGUGAGAUGUUGGGUUAAGUCCCGCAACGAGCGCAACCCUUAUCAUUAGUUGCUACGCAAGGGCACUCUAAUGAGACUGCCGGUGACAAACCGGAGGAAGGUGGGGAUGACGUCAAGUCCUCAUGGCCCUUAUGGGUAGGGCUUCACACGUCAUACAAUGGUCGGUACAGAGGGUUGCCAAGCCGCGAGGUGGAGCCAAUCCCAGAAAGCCGAUCGUAGUCCGGAUUGUUCUCUGCAACUCGAGAGCAUGAAGUCGGAAUCGCUAGUAAUCGCGGAUCAGCAUGUCGCGGUGAAUACGUUCCCGGGUCUU
Molecule: ribosomal RNA, 375 nt
Filed under: uncultured Thiobacillus sp.
Lineage: Bacteria; Pseudomonadati; Pseudomonadota; Betaproteobacteria; Nitrosomonadales; Thiobacillaceae
Description: bacterial SSU rRNA
Rfam family: Bacterial small subunit ribosomal RNA
Source: RNAcentral